CUUGUAACUCUCCUCAGUGAACAAUUCCACAUACUUUGCAUAUCCAUUAUUCAAACAAUGAAGACAGUUACUUGGUUCUUCCUGAUAUACUUGAUCUGUUGUGAGGCGGCUAGCUGCUUAACUAUGGCAGCACAAACCAACCUUAACAUCACCACAGACCGGUAUGCUCCUCUUGCUCUCAAAGCCUGUAUCACCAAUGACCCUCAAAACAUAGUCUUCACCAACUGGUCAACCACAACCCCUGUUUGUAACUGGGUUGGAGUCACUUAUGGUGCAAGCCAUCAUCGAAUCGCAGAGUUGAACGUAUCUUACUUUGGUCUCACAUGCACCAUUCCUUGGGAACUAGGCAACUUAUCUUUUCUUGUUGUUCUGGACUUCAAAAAUAAUAGUUUUCAUGGUAUCUUGCCUCAAGAAUUGGCUUGCCUGCGUCGGUUGAAGUUUAUAAGCUUGAGAAACAACAGGUUCAUGGGAGUCAUUCCAUCAUGGUUUGGCUCCUUAUUCAAACUUCAAGUAUUCAAUUUGUUUGGUAAUCAAUUUUCAGGUUCCAUACCAGCUACAAUCUUCAACUUAUCUGCUCUGCAAAAAAUUGAUCUGAGUUAUAACCAACUCUCAGGUAUGAACUAAACUAUCUAUCACCAAGUUAUUUGGAACCCUAACCUAUUACCACCUUAAUUAGCUAGCAUGUUAAGGUACAAUAUAUGCUUAUUUUUUUUAAGUAAUAAUUAUUGCAUAGCAAGAGCAAUUGGAGACCUAACAAUGUUAUAGGAGAUAUACCUUUAUGGUAACAAUUUCGUAGGUAGGUCACAAAUCGGUUUUGUAGGAUUAACCAAAGAGCAAAUAACUGUGCAUAUACCCAAUACUUGAAACUUCAAUCAAACAUCUUGUAUGGAGAUGAUCAACUAUAAUAUAUGAUUGUUAGUUCUUAAGAAAUACCAAAUGAGAUUGGCUUUAGAUCACUUGGAGAAGUAGUUAGUGAACUUCAACGCCUUAAUUAAAUGGAGUAUUCUUAUAGCUGUCUUCAACAUGUCUCCUUUGAUUAUUUUGAGUCUACAUGAAAACAACUUGACUGGAAGUCUUUUGGACAAUAUAUGUCAGCAUCUUCAGAACAUUCAAAAGUUGGCUUUUUCUUACAACUAGCUUGACGGUCCACUUCCAUCCAAAUGGUCGCAAUGUAAACCACUUUUUUUUAUUAUAUAACAUACCCAUUAAUAUUCAUCACUUAACCCAGAUAAAAACGAUUGAUAUUAGCUCGAACUAUUUGACAGGUAUUCGUAAAAUCAGUUGCAUAUUUUUAAUAAUCAUCUUAUUUUGUUCUUAUAUAUCAUGAUUUGUUCCCAAGUAACCAAUGUGUGGUAAUGAUUAGAAGUCUUCUCAAUUAUAUAUGAUUGACACCCUAGCUUGUUAAGGUAAGGAGAUCGAUAUCUAAUAAAUAGUUAUUAACACGUAGAAUAUCUAGAGAAAUCGGGAACCUAACAAUGUUGAAGGAGAUCUACCUUGAUAGUAAUAAUUUUGAAGGUAUGACUUCCAUCAAUUUUGUUGAUUAAAAUGGAUAAUUAGUUACCUUGCGUGUCCCAUAUUUAAAUUUUUUUAUUCUUGUUGAAUAGCACGAAGUAUAUCAUAUCUCUUAUAUCAGUUGGAAUGUGUGUUGAUUUUUUAGAAAUUCCAAAUGAGAUCGGCACUUUGAAUCAUCUGGAAAAAUUGUUUGUGCAAUACAAUGUCUUAAAAGGGCCUAUCCCUAUGACUAUCUUCAACAUGUCAUCUUUGAUUACUGUAACUUUCUAUGGUAACAAUUUGACUGGUAGAAUUCCUGACAAUAUUUGUCAAAAUCUUUCUAAUAUUCAAGAGUUGAAUUUGGGUGCCAAUCAGUUUAAUGGUCCACUUCCUUCCAUAUUUGGGCAAUGCAAACAACUUCUUCAAUUAAACUUGAAGCUUAACAGCUUGACAGGUAUUCAUAAUAUCAAUUGCAUAUAUUUAAUCACUUAAUAUUUUUAUAAUCCGGUUCAGCAAAUCAAUUCAAAAGAUGAUGAUUAUUUCAUAGUUUGAUAAUCAUAUUGUAUAUAUUGUUCCUAUCUAUAAUGAUUUAGACACAUUUGUAACCGUUUUACAUUUGUGUACUGUAGUAAUCAUUCUGUAUUUGACAAAAUUUAUAAAGCAGCAUUACUAAUUUUCUAAUUGAAUUUUAUAACUAUUUAUUUUCUCUUCUCCCCCUGUUUUUUUUUUCUCUCAAUUUUAUCUCUCUCCUCACUUUCCAUGUUCAGAAAAAGAAAAGCAAGAAAUAAAAAUAAAAUAAAAAAUAAAAAUUUUCUCACGUGGUUUUUCUAGUAUAUGGAAUAAUGCCAGGGUGUUGAUAUAACUGUUGCAGGUCCUAUACCAUAUGGGAAUCAACUCUCUGGUUCUGUACCUUCCUGCUUGGGUAAUCUAACAGCAUCUCUUAGAUAUCUAUCCUUAGAAUCCAAUUGUUGAAUUCCACAAUCCCAUCUUCCUUGUGGGGACUUACAGAUAUCUUGGAACUAGACUUGUCAUCCAAUUCUCUAAUUGGACCUCUAUCAGGUGUUGCAUACAUAGAUGUAUCAUACAACCAAUUAUCUGGUAGUAUACCAAGCAGCGUUGAGAGUUUAUUGAAGGCCCUAUUCCUAGUUCCUUUGCUACCUGCUUAAGCUUAGAACUGUUGAAUUUAUCUCAGAACAGUCUCUCUGGUGUGAUUCCAAAGUCUCUUGAAGCACUCUCAUAUCUCAAGUACUUAAAUUUGUCUUUCAACAGACUCCAAGGAGAAAUUCCAAGCGGUGGUCCUUUCAUAAACUUCUCUGCUGAAUCAUUUGUUUCAAACCAUGGACUCUGUGGUGGAUCCCAAUUUCAAGUUCCACCAUGCAAAAGAAAAACUAGCAUAACUAUCUUGAAGUAUGUUAUUCUGGGGAUCUUGUCAUGCUUCUAGCGGCCUCCAUAUUUUGGAUGUUGAUGUUACGCAGAAAAAAGAAUGCAACAGCUGCAGCACAUAUUAUCUUGAUGCCUCAAGUUUUACGCAGAAGGGUUUCAUACCAAGAGCUCCUAUGUGCGACAGAUGGAUUCAAUGAAAGCAACUUACUUGGUAUUGGGGGUUUUGGCUCAGUAUAUAAAGGAACAUUUCCAGAUGAGACAGAUGUUGCAAUAAAGGUUUUCAAUUUGGAUUUAGAAGGGGCAUUUGCAAGUUUUGAGGUUGAAUGUGAAAUGCUAAGUAAUGUUCAUCACAGAAAUCUUGUCAAAGUCAUCAGUUGUUGUAGUCAAAUUGAUUUCAAAGGUCUUGUAUUGAAUUACAUGCCUAAUGGGAGCCAUGAGAAGUGGUUGUAUUCUCAGAGUUCUUCUUUGGACUUAGUGCAGAGGUUGGAUAUAAUGAUAGAUGUUGCAUCAGCAUUGGAGUACCUUCACCAUGAUUAAUUAUGAAGUACCUAUUGUAAUUGUCCAUUGCGAUUUGAAGCCGAGCAACAUCUUACUAGAUGAUGAUAUGGUUGCACAUGUUGCUGAUUUUGGUAUUGCGAGACUCUUGGGUGGAGGAGAUUCUAUGACUCAAACCAUGACCCUGGCCACAAUUGGGUAUAUUGCUCCAGAGUAUGGAAUGGAAGGAAUAGUGACCAGAAGAGGGGAUGUGUAUAGUUUCGGUAUUGUAGUGAUGGAAACAUUUACAAGAAGGAAACCAACUGAUGAGAUCUUCAUUGGGGAAAUGAGAUUAAGUCAAUGGGAACCCUGCCUCACCUAGUUGCAAAUGCGAUAGCUGAUGUUGUGGAUGCUACUUUACUUGGAACCGAGGAGGAUCAUGAGUUCGUGAGCAAGAGGGAGUGCUUAUCAUCUAUUAUGAGAUUAGCUGUUGCUUGUUCAGCAGAAUCACCGGAAGAGAGGAUAAACAUGCAAGAGGCUGUAGCCAUGCUUAAAACAAUCAAGAUCAAGUUUUCAAAGCACACUGCAGCAGGAGAAGACUGAUUGCAAAUUGAAUGAAGUGUGUUCUAGAAAGCCACACAUCUCAGAGAGCAUGAUAAUCGGCUUCAGUGCGUGAAGAAGUAGUCUCAUUUUGUUGUCUGACACCUAUUGUCUCUUAAAAACCUGACACUGAUUCGUUGCUCUAAGCUCCAUUACUUGCCAAUUGCAAAACUUGUGAAUAUCCUUUGCUAGACCAAUGCCGGUGAAACCUUCAUAUUGCAAAUGGCUCUGAACAGCAGGCAUCAUCAACCUCAAUAUGCUAUCUGGAGGCCAAAGAAGGCUAAAGCUGGAGAGGAGAAAUAAUACAUUGAUAUGGGAAAGCUUCUGAAAAUGAAGCUAGAAGAGGUUUCAGGUAGGACCAUGGAGGUAUUGGUGGAUGUGGUUUCUUAGUUCGGCAGGGCUGUCCAUCUUCUCCUGUACUGAGUUGUACGAUGAAGGGGUGAACAAAAUAGCCAGGAGAUUGCCUGUGAGAUGGAAGCAACUGCUGCUGCCUACCACAUUUUCCUUAAUGUUUCUCUGCUUGGUUCCAAGUGCAUUGAGGAGGAGGACCUCAUGAGGUUCAUGAUUGAGGAAGAGGUGGAAGUUGCAUUUUUGCUGAAGAUCUCUAAAAGAUUAGCUGGUGAAGGUCUACAACGCUCGCAGAAGGAUGAAUUCAUAGUUUAAAUGACACCAAAAAAAGCUGUAAAGCAAUUGGAUAAAUUGUGAUUAGCAUCUUGAUUGUUAUUAGCAUUGUAUUGUGGCUUCUGUUGGUGGAAAUCGCAACCACAAAAGUACAAGUCUUCCUCUCUUUCGGAGCUCGUAUUGGAAAUCACAACCAACUGAUGAGAAUUUUGGAAAAGCUAAACAUCACAUGCUCUGUGCAGCCCCCACAGAGUUAAUCUCAAUUGAACUAAAUCCGGUGCUGGAUGAUCAUUUCAAUCAUAGGUAUGCAUUGCAAGCUAGCCUAGGAUUUAUGAGGUGUCAGGUUGUUGUACUCCAAUCAUUGUACCAUUAUAUGCCAUUGUUGUGUUACCUCAGCAAUCUAAUCAUGUAAUGCAGCAUAUUCUUUAUCAUGAUGUUUCACAUAUGAAUUAAGCUUGUUUAGGAAGCACAAGAAUGUUUAGCUAGUGUAAGCUCCUCAUCUGAUAAUCUCAGUGAUUGCUUUCAAUGGAGAACCAAAAUUGCAACUUUCUCGGUGGUGGGAAGAUUGCAAUUUCUUCUGUAAUGCAGGACAAAGGACAGUAGAUACCAGAAACCAUUGAUGAGAGGGAAUCAUGAUAAAACAUGAAAUUGUUGGCUCUGAAUAUUAUGCAUGAAAUUCUUGAGUAUGCUAAAUCUUGUUGUUUUGUUCUGAGUACUUGUUGCCAGAUGGGUGGGGAGUUAGACAAUUUGGGAAUUAAAUGUUUCAGCUAUGUUUAUUAGUUUGUGAUAUAUUUUUGGUCAAUACCAUAACAGCUAUGUUUACUAGGAUCUAAUAUAUGGUCUCGU
Rosa chinensis is the source of this 5415-nucleotide RNA transcript. RefSeq lists it as uncharacterized. Lineage: Eukaryota; Viridiplantae; Streptophyta; Magnoliopsida; Rosales; Rosaceae. The transcript is spliced from 7 exons. The record is from RefSeq and is a predicted model, not a curated record.